GCUUACGGCCAUACCACCCUGAGCACGCCCGAACUCAUCUGAUCUCGGAAGCUAAGCAGUGUUCGGCCUGGUUAGUACUUGGAUGGGAGACUGCCUAGGAAUACCAGGUGCUGUAAGCU
Molecule: ribosomal RNA, 119 nt
Filed under: Betta splendens (Siamese fighting fish)
Lineage: Eukaryota; Metazoa; Chordata; Actinopteri; Anabantiformes; Osphronemidae
Source: RNAcentral